GUUUGAUCCUGGCUCAGAGCGAACGCUGGCGGCAGGCCUAACACAUGCAAGUCGAACGGACCCUUCGGGGUUAGUGGCGGACGGGUGAGUAACACGUGGGAACGUGCCUUUUGGUUCGGAAUAGCUCCUGGAAACGGGUGGUAAUGCCGAAUGUGCCCUUCGGGGGAAAGAUUUAUCGCCAUUAGAGCGGCCCGCGUCUGAUUAGCUAGUUGGUGAGGUAAAGGCUCACCAAGGCGACGAUCAGUAGCUGGUCUGAGAGGAUGACCAGCCACAUUGGGACUGAGACACGGCCCAAACUCCUACGGGAGGCAGCAGUGGGGAAUCUUGCGCAAUGGGCGAAAGCCUGACGCAGCCAUGCCGCGUGAAUGAUGAAGGUCUUAGGAUUGUAAAAUUCUUUCACCGGGGACGAUAAUGACGGUACCCGGAGAAGAAGCCCCGGCUAACUUCGUGCCAGCAGCCGCGGUAAUACGAAGGGGGCUAGCGUUGCUCGGAAUUACUGGGCGUAAAGGGAGCGUAGGCGGACAUUUAAGUCAGGGGUGAAAUCCCAGAGCUCAACUCUGGAACUGCCUUUGAUACUGGAUGUCUUGAGUGUGAGAGAGGUAUGUGGAACUCCGAGUGUAGAGGUGAAAUUCGUAGAUAUUCGGAAGAACACCAGUGGCGAAGGCGACAUACUGGCUCAUUACUGACGCUGAGGCUCGAAAGCGUGGGGAGCAAACAGGAUUAGAUACCCUGGUAGUCCACGCCGUAAACGAUGAUUGCUAGUUGUCGGGAUGUUUACAUCUCGGUGACGCAGCUAACGCAUUAAGCAAUCCGCCUGGGGAGUACGGUCGCAAGAUUAAAACUCAAAGGAAUUGACG
This 857-nucleotide ribosomal RNA is filed under the name uncultured bacterium. Its description in RNAcentral is "bacterial SSU rRNA". It matches the Rfam family "Bacterial small subunit ribosomal RNA", at positions 11 to 915 of the family's 1533-position model. The record is from RNAcentral.